CCUACGGUGUGCAGCAGUGGGGAAUAUUGCACAAUGGGGGAAACCCUGAUGCAGCGACGCCGCGUGAGUGAAGAAGUAUCUCGGUACGUAAAGCUCUAUCAGCAGGGAAGAAAAUGACGGUACCUGACUAAGAAGCCCCGGCUAACUACGUGGCAGCAGCCGCGGUAAUACGUAGGGGGCAAGCGUUAUCCGGAUUUACUGGGUGUAAAGGGAGCGUUGACGGCAGCACAAGUCUGGAGUGAAAUCCCAGGGCUUAACCCCGGAACUGCUUUUGAAACUGGGCGGCGGGAGUGCAGGAGGGGUAAGCGGAAUUCCUAGUGUAGAGGUGAAAUGCGUAGAUAUUAGGAGGAACACCGGUGGCGAAGGCGGCUUACUGGACUGUAACUGACGUUGAGGCUCGAAAGCGUGGGGAGCAAACAGGAUUAGAUACCCUAGUAGUC
RNAcentral lists this ribosomal RNA (440 nucleotides) under uncultured bacterium. RNAcentral describes it as "partial 16S ribosomal RNA". It matches the Rfam family "Bacterial small subunit ribosomal RNA", at positions 338 to 795 of the family's 1533-position model. The record is from RNAcentral.